AACGAACGCUGGCGGCGCGCCUAAUACAUGCAAGUCGAACGAGAAGCUGUAGCAAUACAGUUGUACAGUGGCGAACGGGUGAGGAAUACAUGGGUGACCUACCCUCGAGUGGGGAAUAACCAGCCGAAAGGUUGGCUAAUACCGCGUACGCUUCCCAGUCUACGGGUUGGGAAGGAAAGCGAUGCCGUGGGUAUCGCGCUCAAGGUUGGGCUCAUGUCCUAUCAGCUUGNGGUGGGGUAACGGCUCACCAAGGCAACGACGGGUAGCUGGUCUGAGAGGACGAUCAGCCACACUGGCACUGCGACACGGGCCAGACUCCUACGGGAGGCAGCAGUAAGGAAUAUUGCGCAAUGGGCGAAAGCCUGACGCAGCGACGCCGCGUGGGGGAUGAAGGUCUUCGGAUUGUAAACCCCUUUCGGGUAGGGAAGAUGGAACGAGCAAUCGUUCGGACGGUACCUCCAGAAGCAGCCACGGCUAACUUCGUGCCAGCCGCCGCCGUAA
Molecule: ribosomal RNA, 501 nt
Filed under: uncultured bacterium
Lineage: Bacteria
Description: bacterial SSU rRNA
Rfam family: Bacterial small subunit ribosomal RNA
Source: RNAcentral